UGGGGAAUAUUGCACAAUGGGGGGAACCCUGAUGCAGCGACGCCGCGUGGAGGAAGAAGGUCUUCGGAUUGUAAACUCCUGUUGUUGAGGAAGAUAAUGACGGUACUCAACAAGGAAGUGACGGCUAACUACGUGCCAGCAGCCGCGGUAAAACGUAGGUCACAAGCGUUGUCCGGAAUUACUGGGUGUAAAGGGAGCGCAGGCGGGAAGACAAGUUGGAAGUGAAAUCCAUGGGCUCAACCCAUGAACUGCUUUCAAAACUGUUUUUCUUGAGUAGUGCAGAGGUAGGCGGAAUUCCCGGUGUAGCGGUGGAAUGCGUAGAUAUCAGGAAGAACACCGGAGGCGAAGGCGGCUUACUGGACGAUAACUGACGUUGAGGCUCGAAAGCGUGGGGAGC
RNAcentral lists this ribosomal RNA (397 nucleotides) under uncultured Faecalibacterium sp. Its description in RNAcentral is "bacterial SSU rRNA". It matches the Rfam family "Bacterial small subunit ribosomal RNA", at positions 355 to 769 of the family's 1533-position model. The record is from RNAcentral. Lineage: Bacteria; Bacillati; Bacillota; Clostridia; Eubacteriales; Oscillospiraceae.